RNAcentral lists this ribosomal RNA (377 nucleotides) under uncultured bacterium. Its description in RNAcentral is "bacterial SSU rRNA". It matches the Rfam family "Bacterial small subunit ribosomal RNA", at positions 107 to 518 of the family's 1533-position model. The record is from RNAcentral.
UGAGUAACGCGUGGGAAUCUACCGUGUCCUGCGGAAUAACUCCGGGAAACUGGAAUUAAUACCGCAGACGCCCUACCGGGGAAAGAUUUAUCGGGGUAUGAUGAGCCCGCGUUGGAUUUGCUAUCUUGGUGGGGUAAAGGCCUACCAAGGCGACGAUCCAUAGCUGGUCUGAGAGGAUGAUCAGCCACAUUGGGACUUAGACACGGCCCAAACUCCUACCGGAGGCAGCAAUGGGGAAUAUUGCACAAUGGGCGCAAGCCUGAUCCAGCCAUGCCUCGUGAGUGAUGAAGGCCUUCGGGUUGUAAAGCUCUUUCACCGGAGAAGAUAAUGACGGUAUCCGGAGAAGAAGCCCCGGCUAACUUCGUGCCAGCAGCCGC